RNAcentral lists this ribosomal RNA (253 nucleotides) under uncultured bacterium. RNAcentral's name for it is "partial 16S ribosomal RNA". It matches the Rfam family "Bacterial small subunit ribosomal RNA", at positions 524 to 776 of the family's 1533-position model. The record is from RNAcentral.
UACAGAGACUGCAAGCGUUAUUCGGAUUCACUGGGCGUAAAGGGUGCGCAGGCGGCCGAGUGUGUGAGGCGUGAAAGCCCGGGGCUUAACCCCGGAAUUGCACCUCAAACUACACGGCUAGAGCAUUGGAGAGGGUAGCAGAAUUCACGGUGUAGCAGUGAAAUGCGUAGAUAUCAUGAGGAAUACCAGAGGCGAAGGCGGCUACCUGGACAAUUGCUGACGCUCAGGCACGAAAGCGUGGGGAGCAAAAGGG